RNAcentral lists this unclassified non-coding RNA (489 nucleotides) under Calyptridium quadripetalum. Its description in RNAcentral is "partial external transcribed spacer". The record is from RNAcentral. Lineage: Eukaryota; Viridiplantae; Streptophyta; Magnoliopsida; Caryophyllales; Montiaceae.
GUUGCCAUAGUCGCGCGGACGUGCGGGGUGCGCCUCGGCGGCCAACGUGGGGGCGCGUGAGCUGUGUCUGGUUCGUUCGUGUUGGCGGGCUCCCUGCUUUGAGCGGUGAACCGUCCGCGGCCGAUCCUCUUCAAGGAAUAGAUCCAGGGGCGGGCAAGCCCUGGGCGGAGAAUGGUUUCCUGUGUUGAAUGCCUGGUGAAGGCACCGCGACCCUAACGAGAUGAACAUCCGCCCGACGCCCCGUCCGGGGUGUCUGGUGGACCAUCCAAGCUGGGGCCGUCGUCCACCCGCGCUCCGCCUCCGUGCGCGCGCGGCGUGGGCAAUGGCCUCUAGCUGUGCCCCGGGAUGCAGAACACUUUGGGGGCAGCCGGCCGCGAGCCGGAUGCGGCUGCCCGUUCAAGCGUUCUACGCUAAGCACGAACGACGGUCGGCGCGCGUUGGGUCCCCGUUAGCUCGGUGUGCCCAUGCGUGUCGANGUCNGCACGAGGA